RNAcentral lists this ribosomal RNA (331 nucleotides) under Savignium crenatum. RNAcentral describes it as "12S ribosomal RNA". The record is from RNAcentral. Lineage: Eukaryota; Metazoa; Arthropoda; Thecostraca; Balanomorpha; Pyrgomatidae.
UCNAAUUAUAAAAUUUUGGAAUAGUAAUAAUAAUGAAAUUUAACGGAUUUGGCGGCAAGAUAGCCAUUUAGAGGAACCUGCCCUGUAAACGAUGAGCCACGAAUAACAUUACUUUUAUUUGUAACCAGUUUGUAUAUCGCUGUUGUCAGUUAGUUUCUUUAGAAAACUUUCUAUUAUAAAAAAAUUAAAGACUUCAAGUAAAGGUGCAGCUAAUAUAAAAGUUAGAGGUGGGUUACAUUAUAGGAUUAAUACGGAUUAAGUUUUUGNAAUAACUUUUGAAGGUGGAUUUAAUAGUAAAGUNUAUAAAAACUNGAUAAAGGCUCUNUCNUGU